UUGCGAUAAGUAAUGUGAAUUGCAGAAUUCAGUGAAUCAUCGAAUCUUUGAACGCAUCUUGCGCUCUUUGGUAUUCCGAAGAGCAUGCCUGUUUGAGUGUCAUGAAACUCUCACCUCCAGCCUUCUUUAAUUAGAGGUGUUGGGGCGUGGACGUGAGUGCUGCUGGUGCCCUGGUUGCAUCGGCUCACUUGAAAUACAUUAGCUGAAUCCUCUAGAGGUGGUUCUACUCGACGUGAUAAGAUCUCCGUCGAGGACAGUGCAACUUGUUGUGCUGGCCGCCGCUAGCAGUUGAUACGCUUCUAAUUAGCGCAGACUUCGAGUGCUGGCAACUUUUGACAACUUGGCCUCAAAUCAGGUAGGACUACCCACUGAACUUAA
RNAcentral lists this unclassified non-coding RNA (378 nucleotides) under uncultured Cystofilobasidium. Its description in RNAcentral is "partial contains 5.8S ribosomal RNA, internal transcribed spacer 2, and large subunit ribosomal RNA". The stretch from base 1 to 102 matches the Rfam family "5.8S ribosomal RNA", at positions 53 to 154 of the family's 154-position model. Lineage: Eukaryota; Fungi; Basidiomycota; Tremellomycetes; Cystofilobasidiales; Cystofilobasidiaceae. The record is from RNAcentral.